This 434-nucleotide ribosomal RNA is filed under the name Streptococcus sp. oral taxon B59. RNAcentral's name for it is "bacterial SSU rRNA". It matches the Rfam family "Bacterial small subunit ribosomal RNA", at positions 28 to 440 of the family's 1533-position model. Lineage: Bacteria; Bacillati; Bacillota; Bacilli; Lactobacillales; Streptococcaceae. The record is from RNAcentral.
GACGAACGCUGGCGGCGUGCCUAAUACAUGCAAGUGGAACGCACUGAUGAAGCCGUAGCUUGCUACAAUUUCAUCAGUGAGUCGCGAACGGGUGAGUAACGCGUAGGUAACCUGCCUGGUAGCGGGGGAUAACUAUUGGAAACGAUAGCUAAUACCGCAUAAGACAUUUUACUGCAUGGUAAGAUGUUAAAAGAUGCAACUGCAUCACUACCAGAUGGACCUGCGUUGUAUUAGCUAGUUGGUGAGGUAACGGCUCACCAAGGCCACGAUACAUAGCCGACCUGAGAGGGUGAUCGGCCACACUGGGACUGAGACACGGCCCAGACUCCUACGGGAGGCAGCAGUAGGGAAUCUUCGGCAAUGGGGGGAACCCUGACCGAGCAACGCCGCGUGAGUGAAGAAAGGUUUUCGGGAUCGUAAAAGCUUCUGUUGUA